RNAcentral lists this ribosomal RNA (253 nucleotides) under uncultured bacterium. RNAcentral describes it as "partial 16S ribosomal RNA". It matches the Rfam family "Bacterial small subunit ribosomal RNA", at positions 524 to 776 of the family's 1533-position model. The record is from RNAcentral.
UACGUAGGGUGCGAGCGUUAAUCGGAAUUACUGAGCGUAAAGCGUGCGCAGGCGGUUCGUUAAGUCAGAUGUGAAAGCCCCGGGCUCAACCUGGGAACUGCAUUUGAAACUGGCGGGCUUGAGUGUGGCAGAGGGGGGUGGAAUUCCGCGUGUAGCAGUGAAAUGCGUAGAGAUGCGGAGGAACACCGAUGGCGAAGGCAGCCCCCUGGGCCAACACUGACGCUCAGGCACGAAAGCGUGGGGGGCGAACAGG